AGCCACAGCCAUAUCACCCUGCAGCCUAAGACCGGUUAAUCACUGAAGCAAAGCAGGGCUGAGCCUGGUCUGUACCUGGAUGAAAGACCACAUGGGAAAACUAGAUUACUGUUGGAA
RNAcentral lists this ribosomal RNA (117 nucleotides) under Danio rerio (zebrafish). The record is from RNAcentral. Lineage: Eukaryota; Metazoa; Chordata; Actinopteri; Cypriniformes; Danionidae.